This 30-nucleotide non-coding RNA is filed under the name Rattus norvegicus (Norway rat). Lineage: Eukaryota; Metazoa; Chordata; Mammalia; Rodentia; Muridae. The record is from RNAcentral.
GAAAAUAGAGAAUAUGAUGUUUUGAUUGGU